AGCGAACGCUGGCGGCAGGCCUAACACAUGCAAGUCGAACGAACCUUUCGGGGUUAGUGGCGGACGGGUGAGUAACACGUGGGAACGUGCCUUUAGGUUCGGAAUAACUCAGGGAAAAUUGUGCUAAUACCGAAUGUGCCCUUCGGGGGAAAGAUUUAUCGCCUUUAGAGCGGCCCGCGUCCGAUUAGCUAGUUGGUUGAGGUAAUGGCUCACCAAGGCUACGAUCGGUAGCUGGUAUGAGAGGAUGAUCAGCCACAUUGGGACUGAGACACGGCCCAAACUCCUACGGGAGGCAGCAGUGGGGAAUCUUGCGCAAUGGGCGAAAGCCUGACGCAGCCAGGCUGCGUGAAUGAUAAAGGUCUUAGGAUUGUAAAAUUCUUUCACCGGGGACGAUAAUGACGGUACCCGGAGAAGAAGCCCCGGCUAACUUCGUG
This 434-nucleotide ribosomal RNA is filed under the name uncultured bacterium. Its description in RNAcentral is "partial 16S ribosomal RNA". It matches the Rfam family "Bacterial small subunit ribosomal RNA", at positions 29 to 507 of the family's 1533-position model. The record is from RNAcentral.